This 265-nucleotide ribosomal RNA is filed under the name uncultured bacterium. RNAcentral's name for it is "partial 16S ribosomal RNA". It matches the Rfam family "Bacterial small subunit ribosomal RNA", at positions 91 to 354 of the family's 1533-position model. The record is from RNAcentral.
CCGACCGGCGCACGGGUGAGCAACACGUAUGCAACCUGGCCGCCACAGGGGGAUAACCCGCGGAAACGCGGCCUAAUACCCCGUGACGCCACCGGAGGGCAUCCUCCGGUGGCCAAAGGAGCGAUCCGGUGGCGGAUGGGCAUGCGGCGCAUUAGCUAGACGGCGGGGUGACGGCCCACCGUGGCGACGAUGCGUAGGGGUUCUGAGAGGAAGGCCCCCCACACUGGGACUGAGACACGGCCCAGACUCCUACGGGAGGCAGCAG